GGCUGCUAGGAAUUGUGGGAGUUGGAGUCCAAAACACCUGGAGGGCUGACGUUUGCCCAUGCCUGAUGUAUUACAUAUAUUUGUUUUGGGGGCCUUGAAAGUAUAGCUUGUGGUCACAGUGUCUGGAGGACCUAAAAAAUUCCAUAGAGAGGCCUCCUGUGCCUCUAAAUACACAUUCUGCAUCCGUCUGUGUACAGUCCGCAAUGAGCAGAUCUGUUGCUUUCAGUUGCCUUGGUUUGAGAUAUCCAAUUGCUUUCAUAGGCAAAUUGAUGCACUUAAGACGUCAAGAAGACUCCUUGGCUGGAUCUAGACUGCCAUAUCAAAUCCAGAUUAUCUGCUUUGAACUGGAUUAUAUGGCAGUGACUCAGGUUAGAUCUACCUCGCCGUAUGUCCCAGUAUCUGAUCCCAGAUUAUCUGCUUUUAACUGGAUUAUAUGAGUCUACACUGCCAGAUAAUCUGUGAUAAGAAGAUAAUCUGGGAUCAGAUCCUGGGAGAUAGGGUGGUAUAGAUCCAGCCUGAGUCCACACUGCAAUAUAUAGUAAUCCGGUUCAAAGCAGAUAAUCUGGAUUUUAUAUGGCAGUGUACGAGGGUUGAAUGAAAAGUAAUGCCUCCACCCUCGUUGCUUGGGUUUGGAUGGGAAUAUUUUGAUAAAUCAAACGCAGAAAUAAUCCUUAGAAUGUGCUCUUUAACUACCACUAUUUACUUUUCCACAUAAUCACCAGACAAUUGGAUACAUUUUGGUCAACGAUGAACACGUUUUCUGAAGCUGUCACGGAAGAAGUCUGUGCGCUUUCAUUUCAGGCGUCAGCAUCCUGGGUGCCCAUCGUGCACAGAUCUUCCGACAGCCAAGCAAAGCAAUAAUGCGACCCCACACAUUCUUGUGAAAUGCCGAUUAUGCUUGAAAUUUCUCUUUGAGUGAUAUGAUGAUUGUUAACUUGCAUAAAGUUGCAUUGACCAGUCUGCACAGGGUUCCAUACUUUGCACUUUAACAACACAACCGUUCAAUGCUAAGGCUUCCUACCAAAAUGGAACUGUAGAUGAGAGUCUACUGAACAAGCCAGUACCUGCCACAUACCAGUACUGCCAUCUGUUGAGGAGUUACAGGUUGCUUUUAAUUCAACCCUCAUAUAUCCAGGCAGGGAGUCUUCUUGGUGUCUCAAAUGCAUCAAUUCGCCUAUGAAAGCAGUUGGAUAUCUCAAACCAAGGUACUGAAAGCAAUAGAUUUGCUCAUUGUGGACUGUACAAAGAAGCAUGCAGAAUGUGCAUGUAAAACCUCCCCUUUUGUUCAGCCACAAUAAGGCAGGGCAUCCAAUAGGAAUCCCUUCCUUGAACCUGGCAAGUCGCGACCUUCUAACAUGCUGGACCACAACUCCCAUCAUCCCUGACAGAACCAGAAUUGCCUGAGGAUGAUGGGAGUGAUAGUGAUUUGUUGAGAAAUGCUGCUGUAAGUUACGCCAAAGAUUUCCCUAUUGAAGUAGAAAACAGACUGACAGGAAUGCAUCUACGCUGUAGAGUGGAUGCAAUUUGACACCACUUUGACUCCCACGGCUCAAUGCGCUGGAAUCCUGGGAGUUGUAGUUUUACAGGGCUUCUCUGCCAAAGAGGGCUGGAGCCUCACCAAACUACAAAUCCCAGGAUUCCAUAGCAUUGAGCCAUGACAAAGUGGUGUCACACUGCAUUCAUUCCACAGUGCAGAUGCCCCCAGAGUCCGCACGUCAAAAUAGUUUUAGCAAUUGCAGUCGGAAUCACGAAGGAUUCUCCGGGCCUAUAUGAUGCAACUUUAGACUGAUGAAGUAGACUUUCCCUUUUCUGAAACUUUGGGGGUUAAGAGAUAGCCAAAGAUCUGCAAGCGUUUUCUGAGUUCCUCCCCCAAGUUACAUUUUCAAGACACUUUCUGCCAGCUGUGAAAAAUAAACGGGUAAAAACCGAUAAUGAGUCGAUGGUGUGGCUCAAGCUUUCCUGUAUCAUAGGGGACCCUGUGCAAUAAGUGAGCAUGUGUCUAUUGCUUGUGCAUUGUUUUAUUUUGCCUGGAAAGUACAAUAAACAUCCACAUGCCUGA
Molecule: long non-coding RNA, 2059 nt
Organism: Anolis sagrei ordinatus
Lineage: Eukaryota; Metazoa; Chordata; Lepidosauria; Squamata; Anolidae
Source: RefSeq, a predicted model, not a curated record